UGGGGAAUCUUCCGCAAUGGGCGAAAGCCUGACGGAGCAACGCCGCGUGAAUGAAGAAGGCUUUCGGGUCGUAAAGUUCUGUCUUCAGGGAAGAAGUCUUUUUGUGUAAAUAAUGCAGAGAGGUGACGGUACCUGAGGAGGAAGCUCCGGCUAACUACGUGCCAGCAGCCGCGGUAAUACGUAGGGAGCGAGCGUUGUCCGGAAUUACUGGGCGUAAAGGGCGCGUAGGCGGGAUCUUAAGUCAGGUGUGAAAACUCCGGGCUCAACUCGGAGAUUGCAUUUGAAACUGGGAUUCUUGAGGGCAGGAGAGGAAAGUGGAAUUCCUAGUGUAGCGGUGAAAUGCGUAGAUAUUAGGAGGAACACCAGUGGCGAAGGCGACUUUCUGGACUGUACCUGACGCUGAGGCGCGAAAGCGUGGGGAGCGAACGGG
This 430-nucleotide ribosomal RNA is filed under the name uncultured prokaryote. RNAcentral describes it as "bacterial SSU rRNA". It matches the Rfam family "Bacterial small subunit ribosomal RNA", at positions 355 to 776 of the family's 1533-position model. The record is from RNAcentral. RNAcentral also lists the same sequence under 1 other name.